UAAAUUUACUCAAAUCAAAACACACUGUGUCACAAAAGCCUGUACUUCCUCAUUUUCUCUGUUCUUUGUCAAAGCCUUUUAAUCAGAUUUUUGCUCUCUCUCUUGACUCAAAAAGUUUAGAAAAAAAUUCAUUGUUUCUGUUGGUUUUGACUCACUUUUCUGUUUUACAACAAGUACAGAUAUACAUUCCAUUUAAAGACCUCAUAUCAUUCACGCAAUUCUAGACUCGAAUGUUGGGUUAAAGCUUGAUUUUUCAUUAGUUUGUUUAAUAUAUUUUUCUUUUCCAGGGCAUCUUCAAUUUAUUCUUGUAGAUGUGUCUGUAUGUUUAAUUUUCGAUCUUGACGGUUGAAAGAUGAAGCUGAGAAAAUCAGUGCUUUUCUGGCUGAUAACUACGGUUCUUGCCCAAAUUGUUCUUUACACUAAUACUAUUGGAACCUAUUACACUUCACCUUCUUGUAAUUUCCACUUUUCAUCUUUUUUUUCUUCUUCUCAAUUUUCUGUGUCUUUUUUUUUCUUUUUCCCCCUCAGAACUAUGUCAAGGGAUCCUUUUGAUUUGUGCUUUUUUUUCAGCAGCUAGGAAUUUCUUGAAGAAGUUUCAUCCUUUACGGUGAUGAAAUCAGGCAUUAAAUCUAAUGCCUGAGGUUUGGAUUAUUGAUUUUCCGUUUUUCUUUUUUUUUUUUCCCUGGGAAUUUUUAGUUUAAGGGAAAUUUCUAAUCUUUUAUAAUAUCUGUGCAUUUCCAUAGGAGUCAUAUGCAAUACCGAAAGAACCACUGGUGGCUGUUUAUUCUGAAAAUUCUUUUCAAUCUGUUUUAAAUUAUUCUGAUGAUUCGAGCCUGGAGAAUUCGCGAAUCACAAGACAACUCACUGUAAGAAUCAUUGAGCACUAAUGAUGGCAACAAGCAGGCUGUGGACGGGAAAUCGAUACAGGUGACUGAAACGGGCAUGAAGCUCGGACCGACGGGGAAAAUUCCAAGAAAAAUGAAUUAAUUGGGGGAAAUGGAGCAUAAAUUGAUCCCAAGAAUGAAAAUAAUUCUCAGAAUUCUGAGUGCAUAUUGAGCAAAAUUCCUCUGGGGGAAAGGGUUCCUGUUAUGAAACAAAACACGAGUAAUUUGGAAAUCUACAAAACACGGUAGUAGAGAGCAAGGGAAGACUACGACUGAGAAAGAGAAUGAACCAACAAUUUUGCUCGAUGCACGUGUUUGUCAUCUUAAGGAUCAACUCGUAACAGCAAAGGUUUAUCUUUCCUUCUCUGCGACUUGAAACAAUCCCCAUUUCAUGAGAGAGCUCUGAUUACAUAUAAAGGAAGUCCUACGAGCAACUGGGGAUGCCACAAAGGAUUCCGAGAUAGAAAAAAUAAGCCUUUUUGUUGGAUAUCCUUACUUUUCAAUGUUUAUAGGCUCUCAAGCUUUUGAUCAAAUGGCUUGGAGGUUUUCAUUGUUCUUUUUCAUUUUUUCAACAUUCUUUUGUUAUUGUAUACUUCACUUGUUGUGUUCUAAUUUCAGUACCUACGAGAAGCUAAAAACAAUGGAGCAAACUUUGGUGAAAGGCAAGCAAAUACAAGAUGACUGUGCUGCUGUGUUAGGAAGCUACGUGCAAUGCUUCAUUUGACAGAAGAGCAACUCCGAGCUCACAAAAAGCAGGCCUUAUUUUUUAUGCAUAUAACUGCCAAAACACUUCCUAAAAGACUUCGUAGUCUUCCUUUAUGCCUAUCAACAUAGUUUUUCAUGUGGAAUUCUUCUUAGUGGCAUUUUUUGAACCAAGAAAAAUUAGUAGAUUCCAAGCUAUACAGAUAACAUAUUGGCAGCAGUAGUUGUAGGGAAUUCAACCACAACUCAUGCAAAGUUAAAAGGAUUAAUUUCUUAUGAAAAUUUCACUCUUUGGUUUUCAUUUGAAGGUUGAAGAAACACAGAGAUCUUUUGUUCA
Molecule: long non-coding RNA, 1923 nt
Organism: Olea europaea var. sylvestris
Lineage: Eukaryota; Viridiplantae; Streptophyta; Magnoliopsida; Lamiales; Oleaceae
Exons: 4
Source: RefSeq, a predicted model, not a curated record